Molecule: non-coding RNA, 145 nt
Organism: Pelobates cultripes (western spadefoot toad)
Lineage: Eukaryota; Metazoa; Chordata; Amphibia; Anura; Pelobatidae
Source: the annotation of a GenBank genome assembly
AGGCCAGGCUUACCCAAACUCCGGCCCUCCAGAUGUUGUUGAUCUACAAAUCACAUGAUUCUCAGUCUAUCUAUUUCAUUCAUAGAAUCAUUGGAGUUGUAGUUCAGCAACAUCUGGAGGGCCAGAGUUUGGGGAAGCCUGCCCU